RNAcentral lists this ribosomal RNA (1237 nucleotides) under metagenome. RNAcentral's name for it is "bacterial LSU rRNA". It matches the Rfam family "Bacterial large subunit ribosomal RNA", at positions 1564 to 2808 of the family's 2925-position model. The record is from RNAcentral.
UGAGUACGAGAUGCUACGGCAUCGAAGCAGUCUAUGUCAUACUUCCAAGAAAAGCUUGCAAUGUCAUAAACAAAUAAUGCCUGUACCAUAACCGACACAGGUGGGUAGGUAGAGUAUACUAAGGGGCGCGAGAUAACUCUCUCUAAGGAACUCGGCAAAAUGACUCCGUAACUUCGGGAGAAGGAGUGCCUUAUUUUUAUAAGGUUGCAAUAACAAGAUCCAAGCAACUGUUUACCAAAAACACAGGUCUCCGCUAAGUCGUAAGACGAUGUAUGGGGGCUGACGCCUGCCCAGUGCCAGAAGGUUAAAGAAGUUGGUUAGCAUUAGCGAAGCUGAUAACUGAAGCCCUGGUGAACGGCGGCCGUAACUAUAACGAUCCUAAGGUAGCGAAAUUCCUUGUCGGGUAAGUUCCGACCCGCACGAAAGGCGUAAUGAUUUGGAUACUGUCUCGGAGAGGGGCUCGGUGAAAUAGACUUGUCUGUGAAGAUGCGGACUACCUGCACCUGGACAGAAAGACCCUAUGAAGCUUUACUGUAACUUGAGAUUGAAAUUGGACUUUAUCUGCGCAGUAUAGGUGGGAGACGUUGAAAAUGUUCUUGCGGGAAUAUUGGAGUCAUCAGUGAGAUACCACUCUUAUAAUGUUAGAUUUCUAACUUUGUAUCAUUAUCUGGUCAAAGAACAGUUUCAGGCGGGCAGUUUGACUGGGGCGGUCGCCUCCCAAACGGUAACGGAGGCGCACAAAGGUUUCCUCUGAACGUGUAGAAAUCGUAUCUAGAGUGUAAAGGCAUAAGGAAGCUUGACUGUGAGACCUACAAGUCGAGCAGGGACGAAAGUCGGUCUUAGUGAUCUGACGGUGCUGAGUGGAAAGGCCGUCACUCAACGGAUAAAAGUUACUCUAAGGAUAACAGGCUGAUCUCCCCCAAGAGUUCACAUCGACGGGGAGGUUUGGCACCUCGAUGUCGGCUCAUCGCAUCCUGGGGCGGUAGUACGUCCCAAGGGUUGGGCUGUUCGCCCAUGAAAGCGGUACGCGAGCUGGGUUCAGAACGUCGUGAGACAGUUCGGUCCAUAUCCGGUGUAGGCGUUAGAAUAUUGAGAGGAGCCUUCUUUAGUACGAGAGGACCGAGAAGGACAUACCUCUGGUGUACCAGUUAUCGUGCCAACGGUAAACGCUGGGUAGCCAUGUAUGGAGAGGAUAACCGCUGAAAGCAUCUAAGUGGGAAGCCCACCUCAAGAUAAG